GAUGAACGCUAGCGGCAGGCUUAACACAUGCAAGUCGAGGGGUAUGCCGAUUUAUCGGCAGAGACCGGCGCACGGGUGCGUAACGCGUAUGCAAUCUACCUUUCACAGAGGGAUAGCCCAGAGAAAUUUGGAUUAAUACCUCAUAGUAUAGCAGUUUCGCAUGAAACCACUAUUAAAGUUCCAACGGUGAAAGAUGAGCAUGCGUCCCAUUAGCUAGAUGGUAAGGUAACGGCUUACCAAGGCAACGAUGGGGUAGGGUCCGUGAGAGGGAGAUCCCCCACACUGGUACUGAGACACGGACCAGACUCCUAGGGAGGCAGCAGUGAGGAAUAUUGGACAAUGGGCGCAAGCCUGAUCCAGCCAUGCCGCGUGCAGGAUGACGGUCCUAUGGAUUGUAAACUGCUUUUUAUACAGGAAGAAACACUACUUCGUGAAGUAGCUUGACGGUACUG
RNAcentral lists this ribosomal RNA (452 nucleotides) under uncultured bacterium. Its description in RNAcentral is "bacterial SSU rRNA". It matches the Rfam family "Bacterial small subunit ribosomal RNA", at positions 28 to 480 of the family's 1533-position model. The record is from RNAcentral.